Molecule: non-coding RNA, 176 nt
Filed under: Negativicutes bacterium
Lineage: Bacteria; Bacillati; Bacillota; Negativicutes
Description: 6S RNA
Rfam family: 6S / SsrS RNA
About the family: E. coli 6S RNA was the first non coding RNA to be sequenced, but its function was unknown until recently. It consists of 184 nucleotides that fold into an extended hairpin structure with a large single-stranded internal bulge.
Source: RNAcentral
CUAUACCUGAGGUGCACGCUUUCCUUAAUUAUGUCCAACCUACUUUUUUGAAAUGGGAAUCUGAUUUUUUUGCAGCUGCCGAGCCGGUUCAGCCGGAAGGCAAAAACAAAAAUAGGAUGCCCACCUGUGUAAGGCACAGGUUUGGACAUAACAAGGGGCGACACUGCGGGUUUUUU